GAUGAACGCUGACAGAAUGCUUAACACAUGCAAGUCAUUGGCGAAGCUGCGCUUGCGCAGUCUAGCCAAGGCGGACGGGUGAGUAACGCGUAAGGAACUUGCCCUGCAGACAGGGAUAACAGACGGAAACGACUGAUAACACCUGGUAUUGUCAGGCUGGCGCAUGCCGGCCUGAUGAAAGGAGACGCUGCAGGAGAGCCUUGCGUCCUAUUAGCUAGUUGGUGGGGUAACGGCCCACCAAGGCGAUGAUAGGUAGCCGGCCUGAGAGGGUGAACGGCCACAAGGGGACUGAGAUACGGCCCCUACUCCUACGGGAGGCAGCAGUGGGGAAUAUUGGACAAUGGGGGCAACCCUGAUCCAGCAAUUCUGUGUGCACGAAGAAGGUUUUCGGAUUGUAAAGUGCUUUCAGCAGGGAAGAAGAAAGUGACGGUACCUGCAGAAGAAGCGACGGCUAAAUACGUG
RNAcentral lists this ribosomal RNA (462 nucleotides) under uncultured bacterium. RNAcentral's name for it is "partial 16S ribosomal RNA". It matches the Rfam family "Bacterial small subunit ribosomal RNA", at positions 28 to 507 of the family's 1533-position model. The record is from RNAcentral.